CAAAUUUGAAAUCUGGCUCCUUUGGGGUCCGAGUUGUAAUUUGUAGAGGAUGCUUCGGGUGCGGCACCGGUCUAAGUCCCUUGGAACAGGGCGUCAUAGAGGGUGAGGAUCCCGUAUGUGACCGGCGACCAAGCCCAUGUGAAGCUCCUUCGACGAGUCGAGUUGUUUGGGAAUGCAGCUCAAAAUGGGUGGUAAAUUUCAUCUAAAGCUAAAUACCGGCCAGAGACCGAUAGCGCACAAGUAGAGUGAUCGAAAGAUGAAAAGCACUUUGGAAAGAGAGUCAAAAAGUACGUGAAAUUGUUGAAAGGGAAGCGCUUGUAACCAGACCUGCCGUCGGGUGCUCCGCGGGCAUUCUUGCCCGUUUACUCACCCGCGAUCAGGCCAGCAUCGGUUUUGGCGGCCGGAUAAAGACUUGAGGAAUGUAGCUUCGCUUCGGGGAAGUGUUAUAGCCUCUUGUGCAAUACGGCCAGCCGGGACCGAGGACCGCGCUUCGGCUAGGAUGCUGGCGUAAUGGUUGCAAGCGACCCGUCUUGAAACACGGACCAAGGAGUCUAACAUCUAUGCGAGUGUUUGGGUGUUAAACCCAUGCGCGGAAUGAAAGUGAACGGAGGUGGGAACCCUCAAGGGCGCACCAUCGACCGAUCCGGAAGUUUACGGAUGGAUUUGAGUAUGAGCAUAGCUGUUGGGACCCGAAAGAUGGUGAACUAUGCCUGAAUAGGGUGAAGCCAGAGGAAACUCUGGUGGAGGCUCGCAGCGGUUCUGACGUGCAAAUCGAUCGUCAAAUUUGGGUAUAGGGGCGAAAGACUAAUCGAACCAUCUAGUAGCUGGUUCCUGCCGAAGUUUCGUAAGUUCUUCCGAGGACCCACCCCCGAAUGAACUCUUGCUAACAAUCUCAAUAGCCUCAGGAUAGCAGUAACGUUUUCAGUUUUAUGAGGUAAAGCGAAUGAUUAGAGGCCUGGGGGAUGAAACAUCCUUCACCUAUUCUCAAACUUUCAAUAUGUAAGAAGUCCUUGUUACUUAGUUGAACGUGGACAUUUGAAUGCACCGUUACUAGUGGGCCAUUUUUGGUAAGCAGAACUGGCGAUGCGGGAUGAACCGAACGUGGGGUUAAGGUGCCGGAAUGUACGCUCAUCAGACACCAAGAGGGACGACUUGUGGUGUCUUGCCGGGGGAUGGACCCCCGGCAUCAGUCUGCGAAAGGCGAGGUCUUUGACCUGUAGGGGUCGGCGGUCGCUCCGGCGAUGGCUUACCCUCUGCUGUCCCCUGACCCGGGCAGCUCACAGAUCAAGCAAAGGCCGGCGGCAGUCCGCCGUUGGAGAUAUGAUCGGCCCCUGGAGG
RNAcentral lists this ribosomal RNA (1338 nucleotides) under Ramalina tingitana. RNAcentral's name for it is "partial large subunit ribosomal RNA". It matches the Rfam family "Eukaryotic large subunit ribosomal RNA", at positions 110 to 1433 of the family's 3401-position model. Lineage: Eukaryota; Fungi; Ascomycota; Lecanoromycetes; Lecanorales; Ramalinaceae. The record is from RNAcentral.